RNAcentral lists this ribosomal RNA (522 nucleotides) under fungal isolate from Newtonia buchananii wood. Its description in RNAcentral is "eukaryotic LSU rRNA". The stretch from base 168 to 321 matches the Rfam family "5.8S ribosomal RNA". The record is from RNAcentral. Lineage: Eukaryota; Fungi.
GGGAUCAUUACCGAGUUUACAACUCCCAAACCCAUGUGAACAUACCUACUGUUGCUUCGGCGGGAUUGCCCCGGGCGCCUCGUGUGCCCCGGAUCAGGCGCCCGCCUAGGAAACUUAACUCUUGUUUUAUUUUGGAAUCUUCUGAGUAGUUUUUACAAAUAAAUAAAAACUUUCAACAACGGAUCUCUUGGUUCUGGCAUCGAUGAAGAACGCAGCGAAAUGCGAUAAGUAAUGUGAAUUGCAGAAUUCAGUGAAUCAUCGAAUCUUUGAACGCACAUUGCGCCCGCCAGUAUUCUGGCGGGCAUGCCUGUCUGAGCGUCAUUUCAACCCUCAUGCCCCUAGGGCGUGGUGUUGGGGAUCGGCCAAAGCCCGCGAGGGACGGCCGGCCCCUAAAUCUAGUGGCGGACCCGUCGUGGCCUCCCCUGCGAAGUAGUGAUAUUCCGCAUCGGAGAGCGACGAGCCCCUGCCGUUAAACCCCCAACUUUCCAAGGUUGACCUCAGAUCAGGUAGGAAUACCCGCUG